This 1121-nucleotide ribosomal RNA is filed under the name Escherichia coli. Its description in RNAcentral is "bacterial LSU rRNA". It matches the Rfam family "Bacterial large subunit ribosomal RNA", at positions 1157 to 2261 of the family's 2925-position model. Lineage: Bacteria; Pseudomonadati; Pseudomonadota; Gammaproteobacteria; Enterobacterales; Enterobacteriaceae. The record is from RNAcentral.
GCCUGCGCGGAAGAUGUAACGGGGCUAAACCAUGCACCGAAGCUGCGGCAGCGACACUAUGUGUUGUUGGGUAGGGGAGCGUUCUGUAAGCCUGUGAAGGUGGCCUGUGAGGGUUGCUGGAGGUAUCAGAAGUGCGAAUGCUGACAUAAGUAACGAUAAAGCGGGUGAAAAGCCCGCUCGCCGGAAGACCAAGGGUUCCUGUCCAACGUUAAUCGGGGCAGGGUGAGUCGACCCCUAAGGCGAGGCCGAAAGGCGUAGUCGAUGGGAAACAGGUUAAUAUUCCUGUACUUGGUGUUACUGCGAAGGGGGGACGGAGAAGGCUAUGUUGGCCGGGCGACGGUUGUCCCGGUUUAAGCGUGUAGGCUGGUUUUCCAGGCAAAUCCGGAAAACCAAGGCUGAGGCGUGAUGACGAGGCACUACGGUGCUGAAGCGACAAAUGCCCUGCUUCCAGGAAAAGCCUCUAAGCAUCAGGUAACAUCAAAUCGUACCCCAAACCGACACAGGUGGUCAGGUAGAGAAUACCAAGGCGCUUGAGAGAACUCGGGUGAAGGAACUAGGCAAAAUGGUGCCGUAACUUCGGGAGAAGGCACGCUGAUAUGUAGGUGAAGCGACUUGCUCGUGGAGCUGAAAUCAGUCGAAGAUACCAGCUGGCUGCAACUGUUUAUUAAAAACACAGCACUGUGCAAACACGAAAGUGGACGUAUACGGUGUGACGCCUGCCCGGUGCCGGAAGGUUAAUUGAUGGGGUUAGCGGUAACGCGAAGCUCUUGAUCGAAGCCCCGGUAAACGGCGGCCGUAACUAUAACGGUCCUAAGGUAGCGAAAUUCCUUGUCGGGUAAGUUCCGACCUGCACGAAUGGCGUAAUGAUGGCCAGGCUGUCUCCACCCGAGACUCAGUGAAAUUGAACUCGCUGUGAAGAUGCAGUGUACCCGCGGCAAGACGGAAAGACCCCGUGAACCUUUACUAUAGCUUGACACUGAACAUUGAGCCUUGAUGUGUAGGAUAGGUGGGAGGCUUUGAAGUGUGGACGCCAGUCUGCAUGGAGCCGACCUUGAAAUACCACCCUUUAAUGUUUGAUGUUCUAACGUUGGCCCGUAAUCCGGGUUGCGGACAGUGUCUGG